This 251-nucleotide long non-coding RNA is filed under the name Mytilus galloprovincialis (Mediterranean mussel). The record is from RNAcentral. Lineage: Eukaryota; Metazoa; Mollusca; Bivalvia; Mytilida; Mytilidae.
GAUCUUUUCGCAAUAAUUAUCGUGUUCUUCAAUAAUAUUGUCAACUCAUUUAUGUCUUUCAAAACAAGUUUAACUUAAUUCAUUUUUGCUCCUCAACCAUUUAUGGAAAAGUCUUAUCACUUGCCGUUUUCCGAGUUAUGUUGUCGUUUUCAUACAAAUUUCCGGAAAUGCACGAAGUUGCAUGUGAUAAACGUCACGGAAAUUAACGGAAAGGCAUGUGAUAACAUACCGGAAGCAGUCAAUAAAGGCAC